Phyllostomus discolor (pale spear-nosed bat) is the source of this 853-nucleotide long non-coding RNA. RefSeq lists it as uncharacterized. The record is from RefSeq and is a predicted model, not a curated record. The transcript has 3 exons. Lineage: Eukaryota; Metazoa; Chordata; Mammalia; Chiroptera; Phyllostomidae.
GAAGUGUGCUCUACCGAUAUAAUCUGCAAAACAGAUAAUCUGCUUCUUACAAUGGAGUAUUAGAACAGUCUAGUAGGCCACCUGAGCCCCCAUAAUAUACCCUUCCUCAGCUCACAAACAGAGCUUUUCGGGUUGCUGACCUGAGCCCAGAGGCAUCAUGGAGGCUCACAAUUAAAAGGCUUUGACCCAACUUUUGACCUCGGUGUCUGCUUCCUGUGGAGAGUGUCUGAACUGGCCUAACGGAACUGCAGACUGAGGAAGCCGCCCAAAUUGCUUGCAUUCUACCUUCCAGCUCCCAACAGCACAGGGUCCUGUUUGUUCAGACGCACGCCGGUCCAACAGCUCCAAACAGUCUCUGUCACCCAGAUGGCUACGGUGUUCUUGACAAUUACUUAUCCCUUCCUCGUAUCAGAAGUGACAAUCCUUACUUUAACACGUGUGUUUGCAGCUUCAGCUGCAUGCUUUAAUCGAUGAAUACAGCAUCUUUUAUUGAUGCAGAUUUAUCGGGAGCUUCAUUCAGCAAGAUCACCAACACAAGGCACUGGGAAACGUGACCUCCAGUGAAAAGUUACUGGUUACCUGAAUAUUGUAACUGCUGUUGCUGGUGGAAUAAAUGUAGAUUCCAAACUAGGACAGCUGGUCUAAAAUGAAACAAAUAUUUUAUCUCAUUGAAUUGCCUGUGAAACUGCCUGAACAGCUGAGAAGUGAUCAGCAAAGUGAUAAAUGAGCAUCUUCAGAAACGAAAACCCCAAUAUUGAGAAAUCCUUCGUCAUAAGAAAAAAAUUAAAAUUUUGAUAUGUGAGGGUUCUUUGUUCGAAAUCAGUGUAUUCCCUCCUAUAGUUUUUAUUCCCUC